GAGUUUGAUUAUGGCUCAGAUUGAACGCUGGCGGCAUGCUUUACACAUGCAAGUCGAACGGCAGCGCGGGCUUCGGCCUGGCGGCGAGUGGCGAACGGGUGAGUAAUACAUCGGAACGUACCUGGUAGUGGGGGAUAGCUCGGCGAAAGCCGGAUUAAUACCGCAUACGACCUCAGGGUGAAAGCGGGGGACCUUCGGGCCUCGCGCUAUCAGAGCGGCCGAUGGCAGAUUAGCUAGUUGGUGAGGUAAAGGCUUACCAAGGCGACGAUCUGUAGCUGGUCUGAGAGGACGACCAGCCACACUGGGACUGAGACACGGCCCAGACUCCUACGGGAGGUAGCAGUGGGGAAUUUUGGACAAUGGGCGCAAGCCUGAUCCAGCAAUGCCGCGUGUGUGAUGAAGGCCUUCGGGUUGUAAAGCACUUUUGUCAGGAACGAAAAGGUGCCGUGCUAAUAUCCAUGGGCCGAUGACGNAC
Molecule: ribosomal RNA, 475 nt
Filed under: Lautropia sp. canine oral taxon 175
Lineage: Bacteria; Pseudomonadati; Pseudomonadota; Betaproteobacteria; Burkholderiales; Burkholderiaceae
Description: bacterial SSU rRNA
Rfam family: Bacterial small subunit ribosomal RNA
Source: RNAcentral